RNAcentral lists this transfer RNA (412 nucleotides) under Candidatus Borrelia lonestari. Its description in RNAcentral is "Borrelia lonestari partial 16S-23S intergenic spacer". The stretch from base 71 to 145 matches the Rfam family "tRNA". Lineage: Bacteria; Pseudomonadati; Spirochaetota; Spirochaetia; Spirochaetales; Borreliaceae. The record is from RNAcentral.
CUAAGAGAAAGAAAAUUUUAAAUUAAGUAAUGUUAUCUUAACUCUUCCCUUGUUUUCUUAAAUGUUUUUUGGGGGUUUAGCUCAGUUGGUUUAGAGCAUCGGCUUUGCAAGCCGGGGGUCAAGGGUUCGAAUCCCUUAGCCUCCAUUUAUUCAUUGUGAAAGUGUAUAAGUUUUACCUUUAAAAUAUAUUAUAAUCAAAAUAUUUGUAAUAUCGUUUAGUAACAUUUAUUAUGAUAGGAAUAAAUGUACUUAUAUUGUUAUGCUUAUUUGAGCUUGCAUUUUCUAUUCUUUUUAAGAAUUGCUUUUUGCAAGCUUAAAAUCUUAAUUUAAUUAAAAAACCAAUUAUAUUUAAUAUUCAACUUACCUAAUCAUAAAGAAACUUAAUUUUAUUGGGAUCAGGAGGAGUUGAACC